Molecule: transfer RNA, 74 nt
Filed under: Bacteroidetes bacterium ADurb.Bin057
Lineage: Bacteria; Pseudomonadati; Bacteroidota
Description: tRNA-Pro
Rfam family: tRNA
About the family: Transfer RNA (tRNA) molecules are approximately 80 nucleotides in length. Their secondary structure includes four short double-helical elements and three loops (D, anti-codon, and T loops).
Source: RNAcentral
CGGAGUUUAGCGCAGUUGGUAGCGCGCUACGUUCGGGACGUAGAGGUCGGGCGUUCGAGUCGCCUAACUCCGAC